RNAcentral lists this long non-coding RNA (1707 nucleotides) under Capra hircus (goat). RNAcentral's name for it is "lncRNA (ENSCHIG00010026727.1)". Lineage: Eukaryota; Metazoa; Chordata; Mammalia; Artiodactyla; Bovidae. The record is from RNAcentral.
CUCAUACAAAAGUGGGCCCUAAGUAGCCUACUCAGCUCUGUCUUGUAGGAGAUGUUCAGUGGGCAAGGGAGUGAAGUCAGAGGCAGCUUUCCUCCUUGAUCCCCUGGACUGUUCCUCUCCCCCCAACCCUUUCCCACUCCCUGAAACUACCAGGUAGCUUUCGUUCAAAUAGAAAUCGACAUUGUUUAUCUAUAAAUAUCUUCAAUAGCAUUCAAACUAAGCAGGUUUUUAAAAAAUCAACAUCAGCUAGGAUUCUAGCAUUGAAAGGAGAGCCUCUUUCCAUUAGGGGUCUUCGAAAAGAUUCACAUGAGAAUGAUGUUUUCCAUCCUCCCCCAGCUCCCACCCCCACCCCAGAGCAGAGGCAUUGAGUAGAGAUGUGCCUGCCCCACAGAAACGGAGAUUCUGUUUCACUAGACUUAGGAAAGGUGGAGAGUUUUAAAUCUUGGAAUUAGCUACAAAUGAGUAAUAUAGCAUUAGCAUGAGCUGGCCAUAACGUCCCUCCUAAGACACAUCCCUCUUGUUUGGUUAUUCUGCUUUUGGAGCUUCAGCUGAACGUCCCCUGAACUUCAGCUGAACUCUCUCCUGGUUAGAGAUAGCCAUGUUGUGGAGCGGUGCUCCUUACAUUUUAAUGUGCAGGCGGACUACCUGCGAUUUAGAUAGAAUGCAGAUUCAGCAGUUCUGGAGAAGGCCUAAGACUCUGCAUUGCUAACAAGCUCCCAGGUAAUGCAAUUGCUGCUGGUGCCCAGAACAUGCUCUGAAGAGGAAGGGCGUGGUGGAUUUACCCCAAACGUCAAAGAGCCAUGAGACAUGGAUUCAGUCCAAGUUCUAUAUGAUUCUGUGAACGUCUCAUUAAAAUUCUGACUUUUUGUCUGUAAAGUGACCAGUAGUAGUGUCUGCCCCUAAGCAUUGUUUUAAGAGUUCAAUGAGGUAACCAGUUAAGCACUUUAUAAGUCUUUAUCAACUUAUUGGUUGACGAUCUUGAGCCUUACUUGGCUGCUCCGCCAAGUGUGUGUUGGAUAACGGUGGGCUUCUUACAGCAGAAUGAAGAGGAUGAUGGGGAUUUCUCAGAUUCUCAGUGCCUGACUGUCCUUGAGUCUGAGUGGAGGGAAAGCAAAAGUUAAAACUGAUUCUGUUGAUACCACUAAGGGCUGGUUGAGACCCCAGUGCUUAGGAGAUGUAGCAGUUAGCUGUGUCCCCAUGCAUUUCUGAAUAAAAGACAAGAAUACAUAUUUCCCUUUUGAUUUUUUUUCUUAUCAAAGAGAAAGGAUGGGAAACAGAAAAUAUUUAUUUAACUGAAGUGUUAGAAUCAAUGAAUUUGCUGUACAGUUGGAGCAAUUCUCUCCUAGGAUUAAAAGUGAUAACUCACGUCAAAGGCCUUUGAAAUCUCCAGUGCUUAUACAGUUCUAAGGCUUUAUUAUUGUAGAAUGUCAUUGUUGAAAAAGACUUCUUUGACCACAUGCUGAUCAUGUUGAACUAGUAAAAGUCUUAUAAUUCAUCUAAAUAAACAUGGUUUGCCUAAGUCCUGGCUGGUAAAGCUGAAUUACAGCCAUGUUUAAGUGCCACGAUUGGAGAGAAAGAGCUUAGAUAAAGGUCAAACAAGAAUCACAUUCCCUUGAACAGUCUUUAAAUUUCUAGAGCAAAUUCCUAUCAAGCCCCUUUCGAUAUUUGUAAGUUUUUCUCCAAAUCUUUUUUUUUUUACUUGGGUUU